This 3156-nucleotide long non-coding RNA is filed under the name Podarcis lilfordi (Lilford's wall lizard). Lineage: Eukaryota; Metazoa; Chordata; Lepidosauria; Squamata; Lacertidae. The record is from RNAcentral.
CUCACAGUAUGAACUGGUGUGCUAAGGGCUCACGGAAACAGAACUUGAGCCCAGAACCUGUCUUGAGCACAAGGACUCAACUCUUGGUAGGCUCAACCUAACUUAAAAUGGCAGACUAGGCAACUCCCUAGAGUGCUAAAAUCCUUGGGGGUACUUUCUUCAACUAAAAUGUUCUUAGAGAGAAAUCUACUGCUUGUACUUGUGGAGGCAAUGCCGAAAGGCAGCUCGGCAACUCAUUUCUACUGAAGAAGCAGGCUCACAGUAUGGGUGUGCUGUUAGACUCACCUCUGGGGAUGAGUUGGUUGCUCAAGUGUUUUCUGUGCUUUGUAGCACGUUUUACCAGCUUGGGUUGUUAGGCAAGCUGCUGCCCUUCCUUGAAAUCUGUGAAGCAGCCACAGUUGUAUAAAUUCUGGUAACUAUGCCACUGCAAUGUAGGGCUAGAAGCUUAAUUUGGUUAAGGACACAGCAACAAAACUGGUCAUUGGUUUAAAUUACAGAGAGCACAUCUUCUUGGUACUUAAAGCAGGGGUAGGUAACCCACUGCCAGCGGGCCAAAUAUGGCCUGCCAAAAGGUUUUGAGUGGACUGCAGAGACCCUGAACCAUUAUGCGGCUUUCUAAAAUUCUGGGUGAUUUACCCUCCACAUUUUUCUGAGGUUAAUUACAUUUGCUGGGCUUCUCAAGUGCCCUGGGGCAUUUUGGGGGCUACUAUUAAGCUCACAUCCACAGAUUUAAAGUACCCUUAUUCCACUUCAGCAGUCAUGAAGAAUCCUGGGAAGUGUAGUUUGUUAAGGGUGUUGGCAACUGUAGGUCAGUGAGAUCAGCACCCCAAUAAACUAUAGUUCCCAGGAUUCUUGGGGGGGGGGGAGCCAUGACUGUUAAAGUGGUAUAAAAAAGGUAAAGAGACCCCUGACCAUUAGGUCCAGUCGUGACCGACUCCGGGGUUGCGGCGCUCAUCUCGCUUUAUUGACUGAGGGAGCCGGUGUACAGCUUCUGGGUCAUGUUCCCAGCAUGAUUAAGCCGCUUCUGGCGAACCAGAAUGCUUUAAAAGUAUUGUGUGAAUGUGACCAUAUUUCAAUUGGGGCUUCUAGGGAAAUAUGCAGGACAUUUAAUGGAUUGCUCUUUGUUGCCGCUUACCAGUGUUCUUAACAAGGCUGCUCAUUAGUAGCCUAUUUGCUGCUGGUUCCAUUGUUUCCCCUGCUUCAGGAGAAACAAUAAAUCUGGCAAUGAAAAUACUGCAUUGGCCCAAAUAUAAAGCGCACCCGCACCUUUAAAAUUCAAGGGGGCGGGGAGAAUACCCGAAUAUAAGCCGCUCCCUUAAAAUUCCGCAGGCAUUCACACUCGUAAAUGGCAAAUGUGGAAAAAACUCCUAUGGGUACUAGAGAGGACCCACAAGUGAAAGCGAUGAAUGACAUAAGAAUUAAUUGCACAACAGUCUCAGACUCGCAAAUCGGCAAUAAAACAUUUGGUUCCAUUUUACCGUAUGUCUGUUUUAGCAGUGAUAUCGUAAAAGCCCAUUUUUGUAAGGCCACGAAUUUAAGCUGCACUUUAACUUUUCAUGGUUGGAAUUUGGAGGAAAACGUGUGGCUUAUAUUCAGGCCAAUACGGUGUGUGAUGAAAUCAGUGCCACCUUUUGUACGAUUGGCAACCCUUUUUGAGCCCUAAGACGCAUUCCCUUCUGAGCAAUCUUUUGGUUGCUGGAGGCAAAAGGCAGCAGAUCAAUGAAUGUAAAAACAAAAUUAAAAAAUUCAUUCCAGUAGCACCUUAGAGACCAACUAAGUUUGUUAUUGGUAUGAGCUUUUGUGUGCAUGCACACUUCUUCAGAUACACUGAAACAGAAGUCAUCAGACCCUAAUAUAUAGUGAGAGGGUGAGGAGAGGUAUUACUCAGAAGGGUGAUGGGAAUGGGUGAUUGGCUGAUAGGCGUGGUAAACCUGUUGAUGACUGUUAACGACUGCAGUUGGUCUUACAGGAAAAAGCAAGGGGUGAGAUGGCUAAAGAUAGCUUUAUCAUGUAUAAUGAGGUAAGAAUCCAGUGUCUCUUUUCAGACCAGGUCUUUCCAUGGUUUUAAGUUUGGUAAUAAGAUGCAAUUCAGCAACUUCUCUUUCCAGUCUAUUUCUGAAAUUCUUUUGUAAUAAGACAGCUACUUUGAGAUCUUGUAUAGAAUGUCCUGGGAGAUUGAAGUGUUCUCCUACUGGUUUCUCUAUCUUGUGAUUCCUGGUGUCAGAUUUAUGUCCAUUUAUCCUUUGAAUGUAAAAUUCACCUUUAUAUAGGCAGUUUGUUUCUGCACACACACCCCUCUCUAUCUUCCAUCCAGGGAAGUAAGAAUAUUUAUCAGAAUUCAAGGACCCAUUCCAGCCAGGCAAAGAUGCUCAAGGAGAAGAUUCAUGGGGGACAUAGUCAAAUGCUUUGCUGAAGUUACGGUAUGUUAUUGUCCAUGGCAUUUCAGUUAUCCACCUAACUUGCAACUCUAUCAAAGAUGUAUGCUUGGAAACAUCCAGUUCAAUCUCUUACAGAAUGAGAGAAACACAUUCCUAUUCAUACCAACAGCACCAGGAAGCAGCCCUUCAUUCCUGUACUGUUGAAAUGCUAAAACUCCAGAAAAAACGAAUAAAGUAAAAUCAGUAGGCACCAAACACCAAAACUCAGAAAUGUCAGAUAAUGCCUGCUAGUAGAUUACUUUCUGCAGUACACGUAGGAUGAAGCUGUCAGCGCAUCUCCAUGUGAUAUGAAAAGCAAUCAAAAUUGUUUUAAUUGCUUAAAUUUUAAUUGAUGAGACUGACGUAUAUUUCUCUGAUAUAUAUAUUUGAUAAACGUGCCUAACCAGUGACAUGUAUUUUUUUUAAUACACUAGAUGUUCCUGAGUUUGCAAUUAUUGUUCCCUUCAGAGUGGAUUAUGAUGAAUCUGCAAUUAUGGAAUACAGUGCUUCCUCAUCGUGACUUAAGUUUGGGUCAACCUAAGAUCUGUAUGGCAUUUAGUAGUUCUAUACAAAACAGGAAAUCAGCUAGGAGCAGACAUAUCCUGAGCUGUUCACAGAGCAUUGUGCAAAUUUCAGCUGAGAAUGCUGCAAUGUAGACACAUAUCUUUUUUUCAGUGGAAAAUAAAAGAUUUGUAUGGGGAUGGGACAGGAAGCGAGAAAUUUCCUAAUUCUGAACAAA